CAGCCGCCACGGGAAUACAGAGGGUGCGAGCGUUAAUCGGAUUUACUGGGCGUAAAGCGUGCGUAGGCGGCUUCUUAAGUCGGAUGUGAAAUCCCUGAGCUUAACUUAGGAAUUGCAUUCGAUACUGGGAAGCUAGAGUAUGGGAGAGGAUGGUAGAAUUCCAGGUGUAGCGGUGAAAUGCGUAGAGAUCUGGAGGAAUACCGAUGGCGAAGGCAGCCAUCUGGCCUAAUACUGACGCUGAGGUACGAAAGCAUGGGGAGCAAACAGGAUUAGAGACCCGCGUAGUCCCUGUCUCUUAUAC
Molecule: ribosomal RNA, 301 nt
Filed under: uncultured bacterium
Lineage: Bacteria
Description: partial 16S ribosomal RNA
Rfam family: Bacterial small subunit ribosomal RNA
Source: RNAcentral